CGGGGCGCCUUCGCGGGGCGCAGCAGCCCGUCUCCAGCGUCCCGCUCCCGCCGCCCCCGGGCGGGGCCCGGCGCCCGCUGCGCACGUGCGGCCCUCCAGCUAUUGCAGAUGGCUUUGUUUUAAAGAAUCCAAGAAAAUGCAUUUUUCCUGAUACAAACUCUAAGAGAGAACUUCACAUAAACAACGUGAGCCGAGAUGUCAGAUAUGAACUGUGUGUUGAAUCAAGAUUCUGCCUUUCAAAAGCUGUGAGACUUUGGACAAAGCACUUAAUCUUUUUGAGCCUCAGUUUUUUCAUGGACAAGUAGACCUAUAUAUCUGAUAAAUACCCAGAAGUGGAAUUACUGUGUUGCAGAAGACCAGAGAAAAACCAAGCGAUGCUUUAGAGAAAAGGAGUUACACUGUUUAUUUACGCCGGCGGACUCAGCAGAAUAAUUUUCCGAAUCUGAGUAAAAUAACAUGCAGGGAGCUUCUCUUUUAUAUCUUUCUGGUGUCUUUGUCCCACAAAUAUGGAUUAUGCUUCUGGUCCUUUUUGCGGGCUUUGCAAGAAGAUCCCCAGGUGUUGGGGGUCUCCAGGCCAUAUCUGAUGGUCUGGCCUGGUGCCAGUGUUAGUAACUCCCCCUCCGGGCAUUGCACUGUUCACAGUUUUAUGGCCUCUGUAUUUAGAUAACAGGUUCUUCAAGACCAGUUUCUGGGAAAGAGGUAGUGACUUAAUUAUAGGUUAUCAAGAAUGUACACUGGGCUUGCUGGCACAGAUUCAGAUUGCUAGCCUCCCCACCACCACCCCCAAAUAUCAGGGUUACAUUGGAAUUAGCCUUUUAGCCUCCUCAACUGGAUCACAUAUUAGGUCUAUUCUUAAUUUUUUGAGCAAUCUCCAUACUGUUUUCCAUAUUGGCUAUACCAAUUUACACUCCCACCAACAGUAUAUGAUGGUUCCCUUUUCUCUGCAUCUUCUCAAAUAUUAGUUAUUUCUUAUAUUUUUAUGACACCCAUCUAAGAGGUGUGAGAUGAUAUCUCAUGGUAAUUUUGAUUUGCAUUUCCCUAAUAAUUAAUGAUGUUGAACACCUUUUCAUGUGCCUUCUAUAACAUAUUUUUAACGGCUACAUGUACCAUGAUUUAACCAAUCUGCCACUGUUAAACAGUUAGAUCAUUUCCAAGUUUUAGUGUUAUAAACAAUGCUGUGUGGACAUCUUUUUAGCUGAACCUGAUAGAUCAGAUGUGGACUCUGUGAGAGAAAGAAAGAAGUCAAGGAUGAUACCACGGUUUUCCCAAAGUAUUGCAAGAAUAAAGUUGCCAUUAACUGAGAAGGAAAAGACUCAAGUAAGAAUAAUUCUGGGUGGAAAAUUAGGAGUUUGAUUUUGGUGGUCAUAUUAAGUUUGGGAAGCCAUUCAAGCUUGGGAAGACAUCCCAAGUGGAGAUGUCAAGUAGGUAGUUGGAUUGAAAAGACAGACUGGAAUUUAGGAGAGCAGUUAAGGCUGUAAAUAUAUUUUUGGAUCAUUAGCACAGUGAUGUUGAGUGAGGGAGGGGCAAAAUAUAUGAAGACUUAGCUCUGGGUCCACCAAUAUAAAGUCAGGAAGAUGAGGAGGAUCCAACAAAGGGUACUAAGGCAGUAAAAUAAGAGAAUUCACUGUUCCAGAAACCAAGUAAAUGAAGUAAUUCUUGAAGGAAGACACUGAGAGUGUGGGCUAAUAAAGUGUGGGCUGAAAACUGCCCAUGAGAUUUGGUGACAUGAUGCCUUGUUUAUUCUCCCUCCCAACUAGAAUAUAAAAUCCAUGAGGUCAGGACUUGGUCUACUUCGAUUAUUAAUCCCAGUUCCUAGAACAGUC
Long non-coding RNA from Myotis daubentonii (Daubenton's bat), 1823 nucleotides. RefSeq lists it as uncharacterized. The record is from RefSeq and is a predicted model, not a curated record. Lineage: Eukaryota; Metazoa; Chordata; Mammalia; Chiroptera; Vespertilionidae.